CCGAAUAUCCGGUUUGAACCGAAUAUUUACGGAUAUCCGACCGGAUAUCCGGUUUCGUUGAUUUAAAACAAAAUCUUCAAUUUUUAAAAUUAUAAUGAGAUAACAUAUAUAAUUAAAAUGUAUCAUCAUAGCAAACAUUACAAAUACCAAAAAUUUAAAAGCAUUCAAGUAGCAUUCAAAUAACACAAAGUUUAAAAGUUUACAUAACAAAAGAGAAAACAGUAAUAGAGAAGUUAAUUUAUCUUCAUAUUCUUGUAUUAUCUAUUUUCAUGUUCUUCUCUCACAAUCUGAAAUAGAAAAUUA
RNAcentral lists this long non-coding RNA (303 nucleotides) under Eutrema salsugineum. RNAcentral's name for it is "long non-coding RNA (ESAL_LNC001161)". Lineage: Eukaryota; Viridiplantae; Streptophyta; Magnoliopsida; Brassicales; Brassicaceae. The record is from RNAcentral.